This 62-nucleotide microRNA precursor is filed under the name Caenorhabditis remanei. Its description in RNAcentral is "microRNA crm-mir-7611 precursor". Lineage: Eukaryota; Metazoa; Nematoda; Chromadorea; Rhabditida; Rhabditidae. The record is from miRBase by way of RNAcentral.
ACAUCACUACCAGGUUUCACAGCGUUUCAAUGGAAACGCUGGGAACUUGUAGAUUGAUGACA